RNAcentral lists this ribosomal RNA (331 nucleotides) under uncultured eukaryote. RNAcentral describes it as "partial 18S ribosomal RNA". It matches the Rfam family "Eukaryotic small subunit ribosomal RNA", at positions 1470 to 1796 of the family's 1831-position model. The record is from RNAcentral.
CCCUUAGAUGUUCUGGGCUGCACGCGCGCUACACUGAUGCACUCAACGAGUUUACGACCUUGCCCGAUAGGGUUGGGUAAUCUUUUUAAAAUGCAUCGUGAUGGGGAUAGAUUAUUGCAAUUAUUAAUCUUCAACGAGGAAUUCCUAGUAAGCGCGAGUCAUCAGCUCGUGCUGAUUACGUCCCUGCCCUUUGUACACACCGCCCGUCGCUACUACCGAUUGAAUGGUUUAGUGAGGACUCCUGAUUGGCGCCGCCGCCCCGGCAACGGAGCAGCGGACUGCCGAAAAGUUGUUCAAACUUGAUCAUUUAGAGGAAGUAAAAGUCGUAACA